CACGCCGUAAACGUUGGGCACUAGGUGUGGGGUUCUAUCAACGGACUCCGUGCCGAAGCUAACGCAUUAAGUGCCCCGCCUGGGGAGUACGGCCGCAAGGCUAAAACUCAAAGGAAUUGA
RNAcentral lists this ribosomal RNA (120 nucleotides) under uncultured bacterium. RNAcentral describes it as "partial 16S ribosomal RNA". It matches the Rfam family "Bacterial small subunit ribosomal RNA", at positions 796 to 913 of the family's 1533-position model. The record is from RNAcentral.